Molecule: ribosomal RNA, 497 nt
Filed under: uncultured bacterium
Lineage: Bacteria
Description: partial 16S ribosomal RNA
Rfam family: Bacterial small subunit ribosomal RNA
Source: RNAcentral
GAUGAACGCUGGCGGCGUGCCUAAUACAUGCAAGUCGAGCGAACGGACUAUAAGCUUGCUUCUCUGAUGUUAGCGGCGGACGGGUGAGUAACACGUGGAUAACCUACCUAUAAGACUGGGAUAACUUCGGGAAACCGGAGCUAAUACCGGAUAAUAUUUUGAACCGCAUGGUUCAAAAGUGAAAGACGGUCUUGCUGUCACUUAUAGAUGGAUCCGCGCUGCAUUAGCUAGUUGGUAAGGUAACGGCUUACCAAGGCAACGAUGCAUAGCCGACCUGAGAGGGUGAUCGGCCACAAUGGAACUGAGACACGGUCCAGACUCCUACGGGAGGCAGCAGUAGGGAAUCUUCCGCAAUGGGCGAAAGCCUGACGGAGCAACGCCGCGUGAGUGAUGAAGGUCUUCGGAUCGGAAAACUCUGUUAUUAGGGAAGAACAUAUGUGUAAGUAACUGUGAACAGCUUGACGGUACCUAAUCAGAAAGCCACGGCUAACUACGUG